GAAAAAUAAUAAUUGAAGCUGCUAACUUUGAUUUGGGGUUAUUCUCCAUUUUUCU
This 55-nucleotide transfer RNA is filed under the name Gyraulus laevis. RNAcentral's name for it is "tRNA-Ser". The record is from RNAcentral. Lineage: Eukaryota; Metazoa; Mollusca; Gastropoda; Planorbidae.